Long non-coding RNA from Oncorhynchus keta (chum salmon), 402 nucleotides. RefSeq lists it as uncharacterized. Lineage: Eukaryota; Metazoa; Chordata; Actinopteri; Salmoniformes; Salmonidae. The record is from RefSeq and is a predicted model, not a curated record. The transcript is spliced from 3 exons.
GUGCUUUACCCUACAGGACAGUGAAGAGGAAAGGUCAGCCCCACGGCUCAACCAGCAGCAUGUGCUUUACCCUACAGGACAGUGAAGAGGAAAGGUCAGCCCCACGGCACCAUGUGCUUUACCCUACAGGACAGUGAAGAGGAAAGGUCAGCCCCACGGCUCAACCAGCAGCAUGUGCUUUACCCUACAGGACAGUGAAGAGGAAAGGUCAGCCCCACAGCUCAACCAGCACCAUGUGUUGCACCCUACAGGACAGUGAAGAGGAAAGGUCAGCCCCACGGCUCAACCAGCACCAUGUGUUGCACCCUACAGGACAGUGAAGAGGAAAGGUCAGCCCCACGGCUCAACCAGCACCAUGUGUUGCACCCUACAGGACAGUGAAGAGGAAAGGUCAGCCCCACG